This 234-nucleotide long non-coding RNA is filed under the name Elaeis guineensis (African oil palm). RNAcentral's name for it is "long non-coding RNA (EGUI_LNC010297)". The record is from RNAcentral. Lineage: Eukaryota; Viridiplantae; Streptophyta; Magnoliopsida; Arecales; Arecaceae.
UUCUUCUUGGCUGACCUGGAUCCUUUUUUCAAAUCUCUGAAAUUUUUUCAGAGGUUGAAGAUGGACUUCUAAAGGAGAUUAAGAGGUAAAAGAAAGAUGGAGAGAAAAAUAAUUUUUUUCUUAUUUUUUUCUCUUUCCUAAUCCAAAGGAUUAAAACCUAGAAUUCAGAUUUUUACACACACCCCAAGAAAAAGGACUCUCCUCUCUAUUUUUCAUGCCAUGAACCAUGCCCCC